Molecule: small RNA, 736 nt
Filed under: Rattus norvegicus (Norway rat)
Lineage: Eukaryota; Metazoa; Chordata; Mammalia; Rodentia; Muridae
Description: uncharacterized LOC102550315
Source: RNAcentral
CCUACCCCUCACCUAUUGAAGUACUCUGGAGAAUGGAUGUCUCCCAUCCAUGUGACCACACAUACAUCAUCCAGAAAGCAGAGUAGAUCUGGCCCUGCUAGCAUGGGCACAGGACAGCCGACCCUGAGAACAUGAGAACUGGAGAGUUGCCUCUGCCGGCUGUAGCAUUUGGUGACUCCUGACUGCCACUCUGCACCCCACUUAGCAGCUCGCCCCAAUUGUUCAUGCUCGGGGCUGCAGCCAAUCUCUCCACUCCUUUAGCAUACCAGGAUGUCUUCCUCUAGCCUUCAUACCUGCCAUUCUUUGUGUGUGAGAUGCAGUUGUCUGUUGGUAACACCAGGGGUGCCCUCCUCAGCUUCAGAUCUCACUGAAGUGUCAUAGGACCAAAGGGCUUUACGUCCCCUCUGUUCUGCAGAGAGGUUCUACAGAUUGACAUUCACGAUGAGAGAAAGCGUGCGCUGUUUCUCUGAUCUGACCGUCUCCAGCUGUGUCUACUUUCAGGACCAUCUCACUGUGUUUCAUCCUGGCUGAGAUAAGUGUACAAACAGCACCACCCUUGUAGAGUUGUGAGGAUCCUGUUUGCACUAACAUUGAUAUAAAUAUAAACAUCUUGGCACAGUGCAGAUAUAUUCUAUUGCCAAAAAAAACUCAAAUAAGCAUCUGUCAACCAAUAUUCAAUAGGCUUUAAGGUAACAUUUCUAAAAAAAAAAUCUGUGGAUUCUAGGAUCUCCGGAGU